RNAcentral lists this ribosomal RNA (660 nucleotides) under uncultured fungus. RNAcentral describes it as "eukaryotic LSU rRNA". It matches the Rfam family "Eukaryotic large subunit ribosomal RNA", at positions 24 to 664 of the family's 3401-position model. The record is from RNAcentral. Lineage: Eukaryota; Fungi.
CCCGCUGAACUUAAGCAUACCAAUAAGCGGAGGAAAAGAAACUAACAAGGAUUCCCCUAGUAACUGCGAGUGAAGCGGGAAAAGCUCAAAUUUAAAAUCUGGUAGUCUUUGGCUGCCCGAGUUGUAAUCUAGAGAAGCAUUAUCCGCGUCGGACCGUAUACAAGUUUUCCUGGAACGGAGCGUCAUAGAGGGUGAGAAUCCCGUCUUUGAUACGGACUACCGAGGCUUUGUGAUGUGCUCUCAAAGAGUCGAGUUGUUUGGGAAUGCAGCUCUAAAUGGGUGGUAAAUUCCAUCUAAAGCUAAAUAUUGGCGAGAGACCGAUAGCGAACAAGUACCGUGAGGGAAAGAUGAAAAGAACUUUGGAAAGAGAGUUAAACAGUACGUGAAAUUGUUGAAAGGGAAACGCUUGAAGUCAGUCGCGUUUGCCGGGGAUCAGCCUUGCUUCUGCUUGGUGUACUUCCUGGUUGACGGGUCAGCAUCAAUUUUGACCGGUGGAUAAAGGUCAAGGGAAUGUGGCACCUUCGGGUGUGUUAUAGCCCUUGGCUGCAUACAUCGGUUGGGAUUGAGGAACUCAGCACGCCGCAAGGCCGGGUCUUUUUGAUCACGUACGUGCUUAGGAUGCUGGCAUAAUGGCUUUAAUCGACCCGUCUUGAAACACGG